RNAcentral lists this ribosomal RNA (464 nucleotides) under uncultured bacterium. RNAcentral describes it as "partial 16S ribosomal RNA". It matches the Rfam family "Bacterial small subunit ribosomal RNA", at positions 338 to 795 of the family's 1533-position model. The record is from RNAcentral.
CCUACGGGGUGCAGCAGUAGGGAAUCUUCGUCAAUGGGCGCAAGCCUGAACGAGCAAUGCCGCGUGAACGAGGAAGGUCUUCGGAUCGUAAAGUUCUGUUGAAGGGGAAAAAGAGCGGAGAGAGGAAAUGGUCUCCGAUUGAUAUUACCCUUCGAGGAAGUCACGGCUAACUACGUGCCAGCAGCCGCGGUAAUACGUAGGUGGCGAGCGUUAUCCGGAAUGAUUGGGCGUAAAGGGUGCGUAGGCGGCCUGCUAAGUCUGGAGUGAAAGGUACCGGCUCAACCGGUACAGGAUCUGGAAACUGGCGGGCUAGAGAGCAGGAGAGGGCGGUGGAACUCCAUGGGUAGCGGUAAAAUGCGUAGAUAUAUGGAAGAACACCAGUGGCGAAGGCGGCCGCCUGGCCUGUUACUGACGCUGAGGCACGAAAGCGUGGGGAGCAAAUAGGAUUAGAUACCCCUGUAGUC